This 75-nucleotide transfer RNA is filed under the name Thermoanaerobacterales bacterium. RNAcentral's name for it is "tRNA-Val". It matches the Rfam family "tRNA". Rfam says of the family: Transfer RNA (tRNA) molecules are approximately 80 nucleotides in length. RNAcentral also lists the same sequence under 1 other name. Lineage: Bacteria; Bacillati; Bacillota; Clostridia; Thermoanaerobacterales. The record is from RNAcentral.
GGGCGCGUAGCUCAGUGGGAGAGCACUUGACUCACAUUCAAGAGGUCGCAGGUUCGAAACCUGCCGCGCCCACCA